GACGAACGCUGGCGGCGUGCUUAACACAUGCAAGUCGAACGAAGAGCGACGGAAGCUUGCUUCUAUCAAUCUUAGUGGCGAACGGGUGAGUAACGCGUAAUCAACCUGCCCUUCAGAGGGGGACAACAGUUGGAAACGACUGCUAAUACCGCAUACGAUCUAAUCUCGGCAUCGAGGAUGGAUGAAAGGUGGCCUCUACAUGUAAGCUAUCACUGAAGGAGGGGAUUGCGUCUGAUUAGCUAGUUGGAGGGGUAACGGCCCACCAAGGCGAUGAUCAGUAGCCGGUCUGAGAGGAUGAACGGCCACAUUGGGACUGAGACACGGCCCAGACUCCUACGGGAGGCAGCAGUGGGGAAUCUUCCGCAAUGGACGAAAGUCUGACGGAGCAACGCCGCGUGAGUGAUGACGGCCUUCGGGUUGUAAAGCUCUGUUAAUCGGGGCGAAAGGCCUUCUUGCGAAUAGUGAGAAGGAUUGACGGUACCGGAAUAGAAAGCCACGGCUAACUACGUG
This 510-nucleotide ribosomal RNA is filed under the name uncultured bacterium. RNAcentral's name for it is "partial 16S ribosomal RNA". It matches the Rfam family "Bacterial small subunit ribosomal RNA", at positions 28 to 507 of the family's 1533-position model. The record is from RNAcentral.